GUGGGGAAUAUUGGACAAUGGGCGAAAGCCUGAUCCAGCCAUGCCGCGUGAGUGAUGAAGGCCUUAGGGUUGUAAAGCUCUUUCAGUAGGGAAGAUAAUGACGGUACCUACAGAAGAAGCCCCGGCUAACUUCGUGCCAGCAGCCGCGGUAAUACGAAGGGGGCUAGCGUUGUUCGGAUUUACUGGGCGUAAAGCGCACGUAGGCGGAUUGGUCAGUUAGAGGUGAAAUCCUGGAGCUCAACUCCAGAACUGCCUUUAAUACUGCCAGUCUAGAGUCCAGAAGAGGUGAGUGGAACUCCUAGGGUAGAGGUGGAAUUCGUAGAUAUUAGGAAGAACACCAGUGGCGAAGGCGGCUCACUGGUCUGGUACUGACGCUGAGGUGCGAAAGUGUGGGGAGCAAACAGGAUUAGAUACCCGGGUAGUCC
Molecule: ribosomal RNA, 425 nt
Filed under: uncultured bacterium
Lineage: Bacteria
Description: partial 16S ribosomal RNA
Rfam family: Bacterial small subunit ribosomal RNA
Source: RNAcentral